Molecule: ribosomal RNA, 1171 nt
Filed under: human gut metagenome
Description: bacterial SSU rRNA
Rfam family: Bacterial small subunit ribosomal RNA
Source: RNAcentral
CUACGGGAGGCAGCAGUGAGGAAUAUUGGUCAAUGGGCGUAAGCCUGAACCAGCCAAGUCGCGUGAGGGAUGAAGGUUCUAUGGAUCGUAAACCUCUUUUAUAAGGGAAUAAAGUGCGGGACGUGUCCCGUUUUGUAUGUACCUUAUGAAUAAGGAUCGGCUAACUCCGUGCCAGCAGCCGCGGUAAUACGGAGGAUCCGAGCGUUAUCCGGAUUUAUUGGGUUUAAAGGGUGCGUAGGCGGCCUUUUAAGUCAGCGGUGAAAGUCUGUGGCUCAACCAUAGAAUUGCCGUUGAAACUGGGAGGCUUGAGUAUGUUUGAGGCAGGCGGAAUGCGUGGUGUAGCGGUGAAAUGCUUAGAUAUCACGCAGAACCCCGAUUGCGAAGGCAGCCUGCCAAGCCAUGACUGACGCUGAUGCACGAAAGCGUGGGGAUCAAACAGGAUUAGAUACCCUGGUAGUCCACGCAGUAAACGAUGAUCACUAGCUGUUUGCGAUACACAGUAAGCGGCACAGCGAAAGCGUUAAGUGAUCCACCUGGGGAGUACGCCGGCAACGGUGAAACUCAAAGGAAUUGACGGGGGCCCGCACAAGCGGAGGAACAUGUGGUUUAAUUCGAUGAUACGCGAGGAACCUUACCCGGGUUUGAACGCAUUCGGACCGAGGUGGAAACACCUUUUCUAGCAAUAGCCGUUUGCGAGGUGCUGCAUGGUUGUCGUCAGCUCGUGCCGUGAGGUGUCGGCUUAAGUGCCAUAACGAGCGCAACCCUUGCCACUAGUUACUAACAGGUGAUGCUGAGGACUCUGGUGGGACUGCCAGCGUAAGCUGCGAGGAAGGCGGGGAUGACGUCAAAUCAGCACGGCCCUUACAUCCGGGGCGACACACGUGUUACAAUGGCGUGGACAAAGGGAAGCCACCUGGCGACAGGGAGCGAAUCCCCAAACCACGUCUCAGUUCGGAUCGGAGUCUGCAACCCGACUCCGUGAAGCUGGAUUCGCUAGUAAUCGCGCAUCAGCCAUGGCGCGGUGAAUACGUUCCCGGGCCUUGUACACACCGCCCGUCAAGCCAUGGGAGCCGGGGGUACCUGAAGUCCGUAACCGCGAGGAUCGGCCUAGGGUAAAACUGGUGACUGGGGCUAAGUCGUAACAAGUUAGCCGUACCGGAAGGUGCGGCUG